GGUCAGUUAGUUCAGUUGGUAGAACGUUUCACUCAUAAUGGAGAGGCUUCACUGGUUCAAGUCCAGUACUGACCA
RNAcentral lists this transfer RNA (75 nucleotides) under Cronobacter phage vB_CsaM_GAP32. It matches the Rfam family "tRNA". Rfam says of the family: Transfer RNA (tRNA) molecules are approximately 80 nucleotides in length. Their secondary structure includes four short double-helical elements and three loops (D, anti-codon, and T loops). The record is from Rfam by way of RNAcentral. Lineage: Duplodnaviria; Heunggongvirae; Uroviricota; Caudoviricetes.